CUAUAAUGCAAGUCGAGCGGAAGAAGGGAGCUUGCUCCCGGAUGUUAGCGGCGGACGGGUGAGUAACACGUGGGUAACCUGCCUGUAAGACUGGGAUAACUCCGGGAAACCGGAGCUAAUACCGGAUAGUUCCUUGAACCGCAUGGUUCAAGGAUGAAAGACGGUUUCGGCUGUCACUUACAGAUGGACCCGCGGCGCAUUAGCUAGUUGGUGGGGUAAUGGCUCACCAAGGCGACGAUGCGUAGCCGACCUGAGAGGGUGAUCGGCCACACUGGGACUGAGACACGGCCCAGACUCCUACGGGAGGCAGCAGUAGGGAAUCUUCCGCAAUGGACGAAAGUCUGACGGAGCAACGCCGCGUGAGUGAUGAAGGUUUUCGGAUCGUAAAGCUCUGUUGUUAGGGAAGAACAAGUGCGAGAGUAACUGCUCGCACCUUGACGGUACCUAACCAGAAAGCCACGGCUAACUACGUGCCAGCAGCCGCGGUAAUACGUAGGUGGCAAGCGUUGUCCGGAAUUAUUGGGCGUAAAGGGCUCGCAGGCGGUUUCUUAAGUCUGAUGUGAAAGCCCCCGGCUCAACCGGGGAGGGUCAUUGGAAACUGGGGAAACUUGAG
This 613-nucleotide ribosomal RNA is filed under the name Bacillus zhangzhouensis. RNAcentral's name for it is "bacterial SSU rRNA". It matches the Rfam family "Bacterial small subunit ribosomal RNA", at positions 51 to 646 of the family's 1533-position model. Lineage: Bacteria; Bacillati; Bacillota; Bacilli; Caryophanales; Bacillaceae. The record is from RNAcentral.